RNA transcript from Zophobas morio, 1366 nucleotides. RefSeq lists it as uncharacterized. The record is from RefSeq and is a predicted model, not a curated record. The transcript has 5 exons. NCBI's taxonomy places the organism in Eukaryota, Metazoa, Arthropoda, Insecta, Coleoptera, Tenebrionidae.
ACCACUAAACAAGAUGUUGUUUUUGUUCAUGGUUACUGCAGUACAAGCAAGCAAGGAUUACUACUGGCGCGACUACGACGGAGCCAUCCCUGAUGAUGCUCUUCUCGCCGGACGAGACGCAGACGGACGGGAUGUCUACAUAGGCCAAGUUUACUUCAGAGGUGAAGGCCUGCUCCCCGUGCAAAUAAACCCAGGCAUUAAAGGAGUUUACGCGGCAUUAUUCCAAGCAAAAUUCGCUAAAGAAUACAUUCAAAUAUUGUGUGGAAAGCUCGAUAAUUUUGGCUGGUUACAAACAAAUUCGUCCACUAUUGUGGAAGAUUUGAACAAUAGGCAACCAGUCGUUGGUGGAAACGAAGACGCAGAAGGAGAGAAAAAUUAUUGGAUUGGGGCGGCUUACGAGAACAAAACCAUGUGCAUAGGGCACGUCUUAGAAGUAGUGGAUGCGGAUGACGAGCCUCGGUUACACUGUGUGAACAAAUAUGGCCGGUUUUGGAGGAAAAGCUCGUACAAGAUUCUGGUCUAAAAACUGAUGUAAUAAAAAUGCGAAUAAAUUUGGUGUUUUUUCUAUGACGAAUGUAUAUCCUAGAACAUGGAAAAUAGGUCUCCCGUUUCCGUCUUUAAAUAAAAGGAACACUUAUUUAUUAAUUAUUUUGAUUGGCACGAAUUCAAAUAAUCAACAAAAUCGUUAAGAAACGAAUAACUGAAAACUUGUUGUUGCAAACACCCAAACAAAAAUAGUGAUGAUACAGACAACAAAUUAUUGCACGCCGUAGACGAUAAUUUUGUUUUAGUUCAGAUUGCGAACAAACAUGUUUAAAACUACGUUCUAUUUCGCGAUAUUUUCCUCUGUAUACAUCGCUGCACACAAAGACUACUAUUGGCGAGACUACAACGAAACAAUUCCCGAAGAUGCAAUCGUUGGCCGACGAAACGUCGAUGGGAAAAGUGUGUACGUGGGACAGGUUUACAUUAGUAGGGAAGGUCUAGUCCCUGUGAAGAUAGAUCCAGCCACUACGGGUGUAUUUGCGGAAAUUAAGGGUGUUCAGUUUGCAAGAAAACACAUCAAAAUUCUGUGUGGUCCAUCUGGCAAUUUCGAGUGGCACUCAACAACAUCUAGUUCUCUUCACGUGGACUUGAUUAACAAACACCCGGUUGUUGGUGGCCACGAAGAUGGAUGGGGAACUUACUUCGUGGGACGAAUUUUACCCAACCAAGGGACUUGCAUAGGGAAAAUUCUGGAAGCUGGGAUGAAUGGGUCGAGUUAUUUCUACUGCGUGAACGAGCAGCUAGAAUCCGAAGUGGCGAACGAAUUUGAAGUUCUUGUAAAUAUUAACAGCAAGGAUAAAUCUUAAAAGGACAAACAUAA